AGCGAACGCUGGCGGCAGGCCUAACACAUGCAAGUCGAACGAACCUUUCGGGGUUAGUGGCGGACGGGUGAGUAACACGUGGGAACGUGCCUUUAGGUUCGGAAUAUCUCAGGGAAACUUGUGCUAAUACCGAAUGUGCCCUUCGGGGGAAAGAUUAAUCGCCUUUAGAGCGGCCCGCGUCUGAUUAGCUAGUUGGUUGAGGUAAUGGCUCACCAAGGCGACGAUCAGUAGCUGGUCUGAGAGGAUGAUCAGCCACAUUGGGACUGAGACACGGCCCAAACUCCUACGGGAGGCAGCAGUGGGGAAUCUUGCGCAAUGGGCGAAAGCCUGACGCAGCCAUGCCGCGUGAAUGAUGAAGGUCUUAGGAUUGUAAAAUUCUUUCACCGGGGACGAUAAUGACGGUACCCGGAGAAGAAGCCCCGGCUAACUUCGUG
Molecule: ribosomal RNA, 434 nt
Filed under: uncultured bacterium
Lineage: Bacteria
Description: partial 16S ribosomal RNA
Rfam family: Bacterial small subunit ribosomal RNA
Source: RNAcentral